Long non-coding RNA from Homo sapiens (human), 766 nucleotides. Ensembl annotates it as long intergenic non-protein coding RNA 1823. The record is from Ensembl. Lineage: Eukaryota; Metazoa; Chordata; Mammalia; Primates; Hominidae.
AGAUUCUGAAGCUUUGUGUUUCUUGCUAGCUAGUCAAAGGUGACUAAUUCAUGUGCCCGUGUGACAGGAGCUACAAAUAUGUUCCAUGAGGUCCUGAGUUGACCAGCUUCUUUCAAGACGUAGGUCAGGGCAGUCACAUAGAAGUAUCAUGGUGACCUUGGGGAUGGUGACAGUGGCUAAAAGACGUUGAGAGAGACAGUGCAAGAGAGGAAAGCAUCUUCACCCUGGACCCUAAUAUGGAGACACCUUUGACUAGCUAGCAAGAAAGAUAAAACUUAAAAUCUCCCUCUCUUCUGUCGAAUGUGGGCGGAACACAGUGAUUCUGAAGCUGCGGAGAGUGGGAAGCCAUCCCCAGGGAAAUGUAAACACCAAGAGCAGGAUAGAAAAAUAAUACAUGCCAAAAGAAAUUUGAGGAACAAAUUCAGCCCUGAGACAGGUCACGGAAACAGCCCUCCAGUCUUCCUCAAGAAAUGUAGACUGAAUCAGCAUUUACCCACCCCUGGAAAAACGCAGGAGCUGCGCAUUCCUGGGAUCUCAGCAGGGCUUUUGGGAAGAGCAGAACUGGGCUGGAGUCACGGUUUCUGGGCUGACUCUAGAUUUUCCCCGGCUUUUGCCACCUGUGAUGGCUGGAGAGUAUCUGAAGAUGACAGCCAGUGUCCUUAGCUUGUGAAGAUUGGAUGAUGGCCGGGGCCCUCAGACCCCUUGGCCCCUCCUUAACUGCAGGUCUUCAAAAGCCCAACACCUGUUCGUCAUUUCUGUGGCUUCC